GACGUAGGGUCCGAGCGUUUGUCCGGAAUUACUGGGCGUAAAGAGCUCGUAGGUGGUUUGUCGCGUUGUUCGUGAAAACUCACAGCUCAACUGUGGGCGUGCGGGCGAUACGGGCAGACUAGAGUACUGCAGGGGAGACUGGAAUUCCUGGUGUAGCGGUGGAAUGCGCAGAUAUCAGGAGGAACACCGGUGGCGAAGGCGGAUCUCUGGGCCAUUACUGACGCUGAGGAGCGAAAGCGUGGGGAGCGAACAGG
RNAcentral lists this ribosomal RNA (254 nucleotides) under uncultured bacterium. Its description in RNAcentral is "partial 16S ribosomal RNA". It matches the Rfam family "Bacterial small subunit ribosomal RNA", at positions 524 to 776 of the family's 1533-position model. The record is from RNAcentral.